RNAcentral lists this non-coding RNA (30 nucleotides) under Rattus norvegicus (Norway rat). The record is from RNAcentral. Lineage: Eukaryota; Metazoa; Chordata; Mammalia; Rodentia; Muridae.
UCUGUAAAAUUUUCUCUCUGAGGUCAGAAA